This 384-nucleotide long non-coding RNA is filed under the name Coccomyxa subellipsoidea. RNAcentral's name for it is "long non-coding RNA (CSUB_LNC000080)". Lineage: Eukaryota; Viridiplantae; Chlorophyta; Trebouxiophyceae; Coccomyxaceae. The record is from RNAcentral.
CCAUGGUUCAUGCUGCACAUUUGGAUGUGCGCCAUUAGUGCAAGAGGACUCUCAUCAGCUCAUGCAUAAUGUCUUGAUCUCUACGAUGACUUGUGGCGUGCUAGUGAGACACUGGCACGCAGCACGUGCUAUCCUAUGCCAGCGAUGAGCGUUACUGCUUACCUUGUGAAUAGCGUGUGAUUGGGGACGAGAGCCACCUAGUCUUGGAGCGCUGUGCAGUCUGAUAGAAACACCCUGCAGACCCUGAGAAUUUAUUUGAGACCAUGCAGCACUUCAUGGAGUGCCAGAAAUUUGACAUUGCCUAUUUUGCAUAUUUUUCAUAGCUAGCUAGCUAGUGAUAGUCUAUAGAUUCUGAUAGUUGGGGGAUAGUUAUUUUGAUCUCGU